GGGGAGAGUCGAGACAGGUGGUGCAUGGUUGUCGUCAGCUCGUGUCGUGAGAUGUUGGGUUAAGUCCCGCAACGAGCGCAACCCUUAUUGUUAGUUGCUACGCAAGAGCACUCUAGCAAGACUGCCGUUGACAAAACGGAGGAAGGUGGGGAUGACGUCAAAUCAUCAUGCCCUUUAUGACCUGGGCUACACACGUACUACAAUGGCGGCGAACAGAGGGGAGCAAAGAGGUGACUCAGAGCAAAUCCCAAAAAGCCGUCUCAGUUCAGAUUGCAGGCUGCAACUCGCCUGCAUGAAGACGGAAUUGCUAGUAAUCGCGAAUCAGCAUGUCGCGGUGAAUACGUUCCCGGGCCUUGUACACACCGCCCGUCAAACCAUGAGAGUUGGGAAUACCCGAAGUCUGUAAUCUAACCGCAAGGAGGAUGCAGCCGAAGGUAGGCUCAAUGAUUGGGGUUAAGUCGUAACAAGGUAGCCGUAUCGGAAGGUGCGGCUGGAUCACCUC
Molecule: ribosomal RNA, 502 nt
Filed under: uncultured bacterium
Lineage: Bacteria
Description: bacterial SSU rRNA
Rfam family: Bacterial small subunit ribosomal RNA
Source: RNAcentral